GGUGUCCUGAACAAACCCGCUGUGUAUAAAUAGUUUAGCCAGCGGUGUUUUCUUUUCUUUGCUGCCUCCAGCUUCUUUUGAAACUAAAUGUGUCUUCUGUCUGUGGCAACAGCCCCAUGCCGAGAGUCAAAAACAUCACACCUUUAAAGUUCUGUGUGUGUGUCACGUUAGGUCAAGGCAGUUUCCUGCUGCGUCGCUAUGACGACCAGCCGCGCUCGCCUCAUGCAUGACGAGUUACUAAAUGUGCAAUGGGAAAAAGGUGGCACCGUGGCCGAGUCGAGCUGAGCCGAGCCGAGCCGAGUAGAGCUGGUACUAGCAGCGGGUAAGCGCCAUAAGGUGUGUCAAAACCUUAU
This is a long non-coding RNA of Etheostoma cragini (Arkansas darter), 353 nucleotides long. RefSeq lists it as uncharacterized. Lineage: Eukaryota; Metazoa; Chordata; Actinopteri; Perciformes; Percidae. The transcript is spliced from 4 exons. The record is from RefSeq and is a predicted model, not a curated record.